UACGGAGGGGGCUAGCGUUGUUCGGAAUUACUGGGCGUAAAGCGCACGUAGGCGGACUGUUAAGUCGGGGGUGAAAUCCUGGGGCUCAACCUCAGAAUUGCCUCCGAUACUGACAGUCUCGAGUGCGGGAGAGGUGAGUGGAAUUCCCAGUGUAGAGGUGAAAUUCGUAGAUAUUGGGAAGAACACCAGUGGCGAAGGCGGCUCACUGGCCCGUAACUGACGCUGAGGUGCGAAAGCGUGGGGAGCAAACAGG
Molecule: ribosomal RNA, 253 nt
Filed under: uncultured bacterium
Lineage: Bacteria
Description: partial 16S ribosomal RNA
Rfam family: Bacterial small subunit ribosomal RNA
Source: RNAcentral